UCAUUGGCUGGAGUGUUUAUGUAAGUG
RNAcentral lists this non-coding RNA (27 nucleotides) under Drosophila melanogaster (fruit fly). The record is from RNAcentral. Lineage: Eukaryota; Metazoa; Arthropoda; Insecta; Diptera; Drosophilidae.